This 720-nucleotide ribosomal RNA is filed under the name uncultured Staphylococcus sp. Its description in RNAcentral is "bacterial SSU rRNA". It matches the Rfam family "Bacterial small subunit ribosomal RNA", at positions 53 to 754 of the family's 1533-position model. The record is from RNAcentral. Lineage: Bacteria; Bacillati; Bacillota; Bacilli; Caryophanales; Staphylococcaceae.
ACAUGCAAGUCGAGCGAACGGACGAGAAGCUUGCUUCUCUGAUGUUAGCGGCGGACGGGUGAGUAACACGUGGAUAACCUACCUAUAAGACUGGGAUAACUUCGGGAAACCGGAGCUAAUACCGGAUAAUAUUUUGAACCGCAUGGUUCAAAAGUGAAAGACGGUCUUGCUGUCACUUAUAGAUGGAUCCGCGCUGCAUUAGCUAGUUGGUAAGGUAACGGCUUACCAAGGCAACGAUGCAUAGCCGACCUGAGAGGGUGAUCGGCCACACUGGAACUGAGACACGGUCCAGACUCCUACGGGAGGCAGCAGUAGGGAAUCUUCCGCAAUGGGCGAAAGCCUGACGGAGCAACGCCGCGUGAGUGAUGAAGGUCUUCGGAUCGUAAAACUCUGGUUAUUAGGGAAGAACAUAUGUGUAAGUAACUGUGCACAUCUUGACGGUACCUAAUCAGAAAGCCACGGCUAACUACGUGCCAGCAGCCGCGGUAAUACGUAGGUGGCAAGCGUUAUCCGGAAUUAUUGGGCGUAAAGCGCGCGUAGGCGGUUUUUUAAGUCUGAUGUGAAAGCCCACGGCUCAACCGUGGAGGGUCAUUGGAAACUGGAAUACUUGAGUGCAGAAGAGGAAAGUGGAAUUCCAUGUGUAGCGGUGAUAUGCGCAGAGAUAUGGAGGUACACCAGUGGCGAAGGCGACUUUCUGGUCUGUUACUGACGCUGAUGUGC